UACGUAGGGCGCAAGCGUGUCCGGAAUCAUUGGGCGUAAAGAGCUCGUAGGCGGCCUGUCGCGUCCGCUGUGAAAUCCCGGGGCUUAACCCCGGGCGUGCAGUGGAUACGGGCUGGCUGGAGGCAGGCAGGGGAGAACGGAAUUCCCGGUGUAGCGGUGAAAUGCGCAGAUAUCGGGAGGAACACCGGUGGCGAAGGCGGUUCUCUGGGCCUGUACUGACGCUGAGGAGCGAAAGCGUGGGGAGCGAACAGG
Molecule: ribosomal RNA, 252 nt
Filed under: uncultured bacterium
Lineage: Bacteria
Description: partial 16S ribosomal RNA
Rfam family: Bacterial small subunit ribosomal RNA
Source: RNAcentral